ACUCUCCACAGCACAUCUCCCAGGACUGACUUCUUAUUAACUAACUGAAAAAUAUGUGUUUCCACCCGAGGUCCUGGAUGUCCCCACGUUAUAGGACAACCAUCAGGAUUUUCCUCUGAUUUGAGUGUAGACCAAAGGGACAGCCUAACAGAGACAAACUGCCUAUUAGCUUCAAUAUCCACACCAGGAAUGGACAGUCAACCUGCUCUGAAUCCCAUGGCCUGGCCCUGACAUGAAGCCUUCCACCAUCGGCUCUUGCUUCCUUAUC
RNAcentral lists this long non-coding RNA (268 nucleotides) under Cricetulus griseus (Chinese hamster). RNAcentral's name for it is "lncRNA (ENSCGRG00000026330.1)". Lineage: Eukaryota; Metazoa; Chordata; Mammalia; Rodentia; Cricetidae. The record is from RNAcentral.